UUGAGGAACGUGUUCACUUUGUUACUUUUGCUUCUCUCUCUCUCUCUCUCUCUCUCUCUCUAAUAUAUGUAUACACAUAUAUAAUGCUUGUCUUGUUCAUCCAUUGAUAUAUGCUUCUUGUAUAUAUAAGUGCGUAUAUAUAUAUAUAGAUAAUAUGCAGUGAAAAAUCAAGAUUGUUGGGUGGUGUUCUAUGUGGUGAAAAAGAGUGAUAAACAGUUAGAUUCAGCGUUCCCAUCAAAUUAAGCACAUAGAAUUAGAAUGUUGAGCUUGUGGACUGAGUCUUCAAAAGAAUCCAGACAAACGCAUCUUUAUAGCUGAAUGUCACUCAGGGCAACUUGCAAUACAGGGCCACAAGAGGAAAAGCAAAAGAGCCCUAAAGAUUUGGAAAUAGAAAGGAAUUUGGUAUCUAUACAGAUAAAAUCCUACCAUUGUAAUGGACGUGGAUGAUAAGGAUUCUGAUCAAUAUCUCAUGUAGUGGAAAAGGGAUCUCUUUGUACAUCUCUCUCAAAAAGUUAUUUUCUUGACAGUUGAAAACAAAAGAAAGUUAAUUAGUUAAUUAAUUUAAUAGUUAAUUCUGAUAUGAGGGUAUUAUUUUUCUUCUUAAUUACUCUGUUAAUUCUAAAUCUAAGUUUUAUUUUCUCUAUGCAGAUUCUAGGGAAGCCUAUUGAGAAAGGAGGAAGAGAAGAUUGAGUGCUAGAAGCUCAAAAUUGACGCGAGUAUUAACAAAGUUUUCUUUUAUUGGUAGAUAAUAUUUGUGAUUUAGUUAGCUUUGGGUAUAAUUUUUCUUAAUCUUAUUUUAGUUUUGUUUUUCAAUAAUUUCAUCGUUUUAAGUAGAUUUAGAUGACAAAUCAUAUAUCACCAGAAAGUUAAAAGUUUUCCAUUUGUACUAAAAUCGUGGCCAAUUGAGAUAUGUGGUAAAAGAAAAUUAGAUUUGAAGUCAGCAAGCCAACAGAUUUCUCGCAUGAUUUUUGGCUUACUUUGUAAAACCUAAAAUGUGUUUCCAACCAAAAUUUCAAGUAAUUCUUGAACACAUUCUGUUAGUUAUUUGAACAAGUUCUUCCAUGG
This 1065-nucleotide long non-coding RNA is filed under the name Carica papaya (papaya). Its description in RNAcentral is "long non-coding RNA (CPAP_LNC010176)". Lineage: Eukaryota; Viridiplantae; Streptophyta; Magnoliopsida; Brassicales; Caricaceae. The record is from RNAcentral.